UACGUAGGGAGCGAGCGUUAUCCGGAAUUAUUGGGUGUAAAGGGUGCGUAGACGGGUAAAUAAGUUAGUUGUGAAAUCCCUUAGCUUAACUAAGGAACUGCAACUAAAACUGUAUAUCUUGAGUGCAGGAGAGGAGAGCGGAAUUCCUAGUGUAGCGGUGAAAUGCGUAGAUAUUAGGAGGAACACCAGUGGCGAAGGCGGCUCUCUGGACUGUAACUGACGUUGAGGCACGAAAGUGUGGGGAGCAAACAGG
Molecule: ribosomal RNA, 253 nt
Filed under: uncultured bacterium
Lineage: Bacteria
Description: partial 16S ribosomal RNA
Rfam family: Bacterial small subunit ribosomal RNA
Source: RNAcentral